RNAcentral lists this small RNA (718 nucleotides) under Arabidopsis thaliana (thale cress). Its description in RNAcentral is "ATSL279400". The record is from RNAcentral. Lineage: Eukaryota; Viridiplantae; Streptophyta; Magnoliopsida; Brassicales; Brassicaceae.
AAAUUAGGAAAGCAAAAGGAUGUCUCUGAAGAGGAAGAAGUAGACGCAAUGUGAACAUCUCUCACCAUUAUAUUCGUUGUAAAAUUCAUGGAUGACCCAACAGUCUGGAUAAUCCUCAUAAUGAAAGAGCUCAGCGUAAGAUCCGAAUCGUUUUGGUUCCAAAUCAGAAAUGUGGUCAAUUAGUGUCUUGGCCAUGAUAUCUACAUCUGUAAAACACUUGUUCUCUCGUUUGAAAGUAUUAAACGCGUCUAAUACUUCAUUAUCUGCGCAGCGGUUUAGCGCAAUGUAAAGAAGCUUGGCUAUAGGAAUGACAUCUUUACAAUCAUUCAAUAAUGAAAUGGCGCCUUUCAUGUCGAGAGAACAGAACCCUAGCCUCAAGCUCAGGAGAUACAUAGCGUAAGGGUUUCUUUUUGCAAGACAUUUGGAGUAGAAUGAGAAGUGAACAGAGUCGGGUGAAGACAUGUUGAUGAAGUCAGGGCUUUUAUCUAAACGAACUCGGGAUAGUGUCUCGACAGAGAAAGCUGCAGAUUUCCCUUCAUGACCAGAUUUAAUCCAGUUUUUCAGAGCCUCAAUUCCUUCUUCUGAAACGUGGCUAACAAUUAGUGCGAGAAUUGGUUCCGGAAUGUAUAAUCUUGCAAUCUUCCUCUGUUGACAACGAAGACGAAAGUUUAUAGAAGUUACAUAUACUUUGUGGAAUGAAUGUAAACUAUAUUGUUUA